CCUACGGGAGGCAGCAGUGGGGAAUAUUGCACAAUGGGCGCAAGCCUGAUGCAGCGACGCCGCGUGAGGGAUGACGGCCUUCGGGUUGUAAACCUCUUUCAGCAGGGACGAAGCGCAAGUGACGGUACCUGCAGAAGAAGCACCGGCCAACUACGUGCCAGCAGCCGCGGUAAUACGUAGGGUGCAAGCGUUGUCCGGAAUUACUGGGCGUAAAGAGCUCGUAGGCGGUUUGUCGCGUCGUCUGUGAAAACCAGCAGCUCAACUGUUGGCUUGCAGGCGAUACGGGCAGACUUGAGUAUUUCAGGGGAGACUGGAAUUCCUGGUGUAGCGGUGAAAUGCGCAGAUAUCAGGAGGAACACCGGUGGCGAAGGCGGGUCUCUGGGAAAUAACUGACGCUGAGGAGCGAAAGCGUGGGUAGCGAACAGGAUUAGAUACCCUGGUAGUCCACGCCGUAAACGGUGGGCGCUAGGUGUGGGUUUCCUUCCACGGGAUCCGUGCCGUAGCUAACGCAUUAAGCGCCCCGCCUGGGGNGACGCGCAGCGAACACGAAGAAGUAGACGCGUGAGACGUGCCGACGGACGACGACGAGGGAGAGG
This 596-nucleotide ribosomal RNA is filed under the name uncultured bacterium. RNAcentral describes it as "bacterial SSU rRNA". The stretch from base 1 to 525 matches the Rfam family "Bacterial small subunit ribosomal RNA", at positions 338 to 873 of the family's 1533-position model. The record is from RNAcentral.